Molecule: ribosomal RNA, 373 nt
Filed under: uncultured bacterium
Lineage: Bacteria
Description: bacterial SSU rRNA
Rfam family: Bacterial small subunit ribosomal RNA
Source: RNAcentral
AUACGGAGGAUGCAAGCGUUAUCCGGAUUUAUUGGGUUUAAAGGGUGCGCAGGCGGAAUAUUAAGUCAGUGGUGAAAGCCUACAGCUUAACUGUAGAACUGCCAUUGAUACUGGUAUUCUUGAGUGUUGUUGAGGUAGGCGGAAUGUGUCAUGUAGCGGUGAAAUGCUUAGAUAUGACACAGAACACCGAUCGCGAAGGCAGCUUACCAAGCAACUACUGACGCUCAUGCACGAAAGCGUGGGGAUCAAACAGGAUUAGAUACCCUGGUAGUCCACGCCGUAAACGAUGAUCACUCGAUGUUGGCGAUACACAGUCAGCGUCUAAGCGAAAGUAAUAAGUGAUCCACCUGGGGAGUACGAUCGCAAGAUUGAA